RNAcentral lists this transfer RNA (89 nucleotides) under Thermostaphylospora chromogena. RNAcentral's name for it is "tRNA_Leu_GAG". It matches the Rfam family "tRNA". From Rfam's summary of the family: Transfer RNA (tRNA) molecules are approximately 80 nucleotides in length. Their secondary structure includes four short double-helical elements and three loops (D, anti-codon, and T loops). The record is from RNAcentral. Lineage: Bacteria; Bacillati; Actinomycetota; Actinomycetes; Streptosporangiales; Thermomonosporaceae.
GUCCGGGUGGCGGAAUAGGCAGACGCGCUAGCUUGAGGUGCUAGUGCCCAGCAAUGGGCAUGGGGGUUCAAGUCCCCCCUCGGACACCA